RNAcentral lists this non-coding RNA (27 nucleotides) under Mus musculus (house mouse). Lineage: Eukaryota; Metazoa; Chordata; Mammalia; Rodentia; Muridae. The record is from RNAcentral.
UAAACAGAGAAAAAGGAGAUGUCCAGA